AGAGUUUGAUCAUGGCUCAGAUUGAACGCUGGCGGCAGGCCUAACACAUGCAAGUCGAGCGGUAGCACAGAGAGCUUGCUCUCGGGUGACGAGCGGCGGACGGGUGAGUAAUGUCUGGGAAACUGCCUGAUGGACCCCGAUAACUACUGGAAACGGUAGCUAAUACCGCAUAAUGUCGCAAGACCAAAGAGGGGGACCUUCGGGCCUCUUGCCAUCAGAUGUGCCCAGAUGGGAUUAGCUAGUAGGUGGGGUAAUGGCUCACCUAGGCGACGAUCCCUAGCUGGUCUGAGAGGAUGACCAGCCACACUGGAACUGAGACACGGUCCAGACUCCUACGGGAGGCAGCAGUGGGGAAUAUUGCACAAUGGGCGCAAGCCUGAUGCAGCCAUGCCGCGUGUAUGAAGAAGGCCUUCGGGUUGUAAAGUACUUUCAGCGAGGAGGAAGGCAUUGUGGUUAAUAACCACAGUGACCGACGUUACUCGCAGAAGAAGCACCGGCUAACUCCGUGCCAGCAGCCGCGGUAAUACGGAGGGUGCAAGCGUUAAUCGGAAUUACUGGGCGUAAAGCGCACGCAGGCGGUCUGUCAAGUCGGAUGUGUUUUCCCCGGGCUCAACCUGGGAACUGCAUUCGAAACUGGCAGGCUAGAGUCUUGUAGAGGGGGGUAGAAUUCCACCAGUAGCGGUGAAAUGCGUAGAGAUCUGGAGGAAUACCCGUGGCGAAGGCGGCCCCCUGGACAAAGACUGACGCUCAGGUGCGAAAGCGUGGGGAGCUUUCAGGAUUAGAUACCCUGGUAGUCCACGCCGUAAACGAUGUCGACUUGGAGGUUGUUCCCUUGAGGAGUGGCUUCCGGAGCUAACGCGUUAAGUCGACCGCCUGGGGAGUACGGCCGCAAGGUUAAAACUCAAAUGAAUUGACGGGGGCCCGCACAAGCGGUGCAUGUGGUUUAAUUCGAUGCAACGCGAAGAACCUUACCUACUCUUGACAUCCAGAGAACUUAGCAGAGAUGCUUUGGUGCCUUCGGGAACUCUGAGACAGCUGCAUGGCUGUCGUCAGCUCGUGUUGUGAAAUGUUGGGUUAAGUCCCGCAACGAGCGCAACCCUUAUCCUUUGUUGCCAGCGGUUCGGCCGGGAACUCAAAGGAGACUGCCAGUGAUAAACUGGAGGAAGGUGGGGAUGACGUCAAGUCAUCAUGGCCCUUACGAGUAGGGCUACACACGUGCUACAAUGGCAUAUACAAAGAGAAGCGACCUCGCGAGAGCAAGCGGACCUCACAAAGUAUGUCGUAGUCCGGAUCGGAGUCUGCAACUCGACUCCGUGAAGUCGGAAUCGCUAGUAAUCGUAGAUCAGAAUGCUACGGUGAAUACGUUCCCGGGCCUUGUACACACCGCCCGUCACACCAUGGGAGUGGGUUGCAAAAGAAGUAGGUAGCUUAACCUUCGGGAGGGCGCUUACCACUUUGUGAUUCAUGACUGGGGUGAAGUCGUAACAAGGUAACCGUA
RNAcentral lists this ribosomal RNA (1498 nucleotides) under Enterobacter sp. lam-4. Its description in RNAcentral is "bacterial SSU rRNA". It matches the Rfam family "Bacterial small subunit ribosomal RNA". Lineage: Bacteria; Pseudomonadati; Pseudomonadota; Gammaproteobacteria; Enterobacterales; Enterobacteriaceae. The record is from RNAcentral.